UGCGUAGGUGGUAUCGUGUGUCGGAUGUGAAAGCCCAUGGCUCAACCAUGGAACGGCAUUCGAAACUGCGGAACUAGAGUACAGGAGGGGAGAGCGGAAUUCUUGGUGUAGCGGUGAAAUGCGUUGAUAUCAAGAAGAACACCGGUGGCGAAGGCGGCUCUCUGGAAUGUUACUGACACUGAGGCACGAAAGCUGGGGGAGCGAACAGGAUUAGAUACCCUGGUAGUCC
This 229-nucleotide ribosomal RNA is filed under the name uncultured bacterium. RNAcentral's name for it is "partial 16S ribosomal RNA". It matches the Rfam family "Bacterial small subunit ribosomal RNA", at positions 568 to 796 of the family's 1533-position model. The record is from RNAcentral.